This 253-nucleotide ribosomal RNA is filed under the name uncultured bacterium. RNAcentral describes it as "partial 16S ribosomal RNA". It matches the Rfam family "Bacterial small subunit ribosomal RNA", at positions 524 to 776 of the family's 1533-position model. The record is from RNAcentral.
UACGUAGGGUGCAAGCGUUGUCCGGAAUUAUUGGGCGUAAAGAGCUCGUAGGCGGUCUGUCGCGUCGGCUGUGAAAUCCCGGAGCUCAACUCCGGGUCUGCAGUCGAUACGGGCAAACUGGAGUACUGCAGGGGAGACUGGAAUUCCUGGUGUAGCGGUGAAAUGCGCGGAUAUCAGGAGGAACACCGGUGGCGAAGGCGGGUCUCUGGGCAGUAACUGACGCUGAGGAGCGAAAGCGUGGGGAGCGAACAGG